UGUUAUCCAAAGGAUCCACGCAUUUCAUGUGGACACUGUUCCACGUUCUCCCUGAAUCACUAGAGCAUCUUAAUACUACAGCAUCAUCCUUUUCUCGCAUUGUCUCUGAAGCCACACACGCAGCCGCGACACACCGUAUCACCAAACGACGACAAACGCGCGCGUUUCGCAGCUCCCGAACUCGGAGAAGCAAACGCAGCGGCGUGACUCGUACGUAACUCGCAACUCGCGGCGAUGGCUUCGCUCCACAGCACCGUCGCUCCACGCACCUUCUUGCCGUCCAUUGCCAAGCCCAAGCCCAAGCCCAAGCCUGAUGCUACUCAUGCUAAAUUUCCGGCGGCGAGAUUUUCACGGAACCGCGUUUUCUCGGGAAGCAAACGCGCGGUGGCGGCGAACUCGGCGGCGGAGGAGUUCGACGUGAUAUCGGUGCAGAGCGGCGACAUUACCGACCAGCAGGAGGGCGUGGUGGUGAGCCGCGUCGAUAUGGAAGGCGGAGACGGCGAAUUGGCGACGCAGGUGAGCGGAUUCGGAGCGAACGAAGGAUUGUUGUCGUUGGAAGGUUUUUCUUCUUCUUCUUCGGCGUCUUCUUCUGCGUUGGUUGGGAGCGAGAGCGAGGAGGAUAUGGAGAAGCUAAUUGAUAGAACUAUCAACGCUACGAUUGUGCUCGCCGCUGGUACUUUCGCCAUCACCAAACUUGUCACUAUUGAUAGUGAUUACUGGCAUGGAUGGACGCUAUUUGAGAUACUCAGAUAUGCGCCUCAGCACAACUGGUCUGCUUAUGAGGAAGCUCUCAAGACAAAUCCGGUUCUUGCCAAGAUGAUGAUUAGUGGGAUUGUUUACUCUCUUGGGGACUGGAUUGCACAGUGCUUUGAAGGAAAACCCCUGUUUGAGUUUGACCGUGCACGGAUGCUCAGAUCUGGGCUUGCUGGUUUUACUCUUCAUGGUUCUCUUUCUCAUUACUAUUAUCAGUUCUGCGAGGAGCUAUUUCCUUACGAAGAAUGGUGGGUAGUUCCUGCUAAAGUUGCCUUCGAUCAGACUGUAUGGUCAGCAAUUUGGAACAGCAUUUAUUAUACGGUUGUUGCAGUUCUGCGUUUUGAUCCUCCAAUCGCUAUUUUUAAUGAAUGGAAGGCAACGUUUUUUCCCAUGCUGACGGCGGGUUGGAAACUAUGGCCAUUUGCCCAUCUCAUUACUUAUGGAGUGAUACCAGUUGAGCAAAGACUUCUCUGGGUGGAUACCAUAGAGCUUAUUUGGGUGACCAUACUAUCCACAUUUUCAAAUGAAAAAUCAGAAGCAAGAAACUCAGAGUCUAUAGUGCCGACAGAAGUGAAAUCCACCACAUCUGCUCAUCCUCCCGAGGAGUAAAGGUAGAGAUAUGACCAGAAGCAGUGGCAGAAAAAGGGCUUUGCUCAGUCAGAUUUUGUCCUUGAUAAAGGGCAUAGAUUUAUAAUGUGGAAUAUGAAAAAGCUAAUUGUAUACGUGUAUAUGUUGCAUCCCUCGGAAUCUCAUGUAUGUUAGGCAUAUGAAUUCUUAUGUCUUCCCGAUGCAGCUGGAUGAAUGACUUCCCAUAAAUAAUGGUAAUUGCUCUAUUCUUUAAGCGAAAGAAACUGUUGUGCCUUGUGACGGUGAAAACUCUGGUAAGCUAUUUUAGCGGUUGAAGACCUUAUGGUUAUGUCUUCAAAUCACUCUUUCCUAUACGAACAGUGAAGAUAUUUGAUGUAUGAUAGUGGUGGGUUAUAGACUCAGCGGUGUACCAUUAGUGGGGAAUCCUCAGUUAAUGUGAGGCUAGAGUGCACCGAUAUCAUGUGGUGUGUGGAUUCAUUAACACAGGAAAAUGUCAUAAUGUCAUAUUUUGAUCUAGGUCAGUUUGAAGAACUGGAUUUAUUUAGUUUUGUGUAAUCAUGUGGCUGGUAGCCUUCACCGUGUUGGCCCUUCA
RNA transcript from Cajanus cajan (pigeon pea), 1933 nucleotides. RefSeq lists it as uncharacterized. NCBI's taxonomy places the organism in Eukaryota, Viridiplantae, Streptophyta, Magnoliopsida, Fabales, Fabaceae. The record is from RefSeq and is a predicted model, not a curated record.